This 77-nucleotide transfer RNA is filed under the name Marinospirillum insulare. RNAcentral's name for it is "tRNA-Val". It matches the Rfam family "tRNA". From Rfam's summary of the family: Transfer RNA (tRNA) molecules are approximately 80 nucleotides in length. Their secondary structure includes four short double-helical elements and three loops (D, anti-codon, and T loops). The record is from RNAcentral. Lineage: Bacteria; Pseudomonadati; Pseudomonadota; Gammaproteobacteria; Oceanospirillales; Oceanospirillaceae.
AGAACUAUAGCUCAGUUGGUUAGAGCGCCACCUUGACAUGGUGGAGGUCCCCGGUUCGAGUCCGGGUAGUUCUACCA